RNAcentral lists this ribosomal RNA (467 nucleotides) under uncultured bacterium. RNAcentral's name for it is "partial 16S ribosomal RNA". It matches the Rfam family "Bacterial small subunit ribosomal RNA", at positions 28 to 507 of the family's 1533-position model. The record is from RNAcentral.
GACGAACGCUGGCGGCGUGCUUAACACAUGCAAGUCGAACGGAAAGGCCCUGCUUUUGUGGGGUGCUCGAGUGGCGAACGGGUGAGUAACACGUGAGUAACCUGCCCUUGACUUUGGGAUAACUUCAGGAAACUGGGGCUAAUACCGGAUAGGAGCUCCUGCUGCAUGGUGGGGGUUGGAAAGUUUCGGCGGUUGGGGAUGGACUCGCGGCUUAUCAGCUUGUUGGGGGGGUAGUGGCUUACCAAGGCUUUGACGGGUAGCCGGCCUGAGAGGGUGACCGGCCACAUUGGGACUGGGAUACGGCCCAGACUCCUACGGGAGGCAGCAGUGGGGAAUAUUGCACAGUGGGCGGAAGCCUGAUGCAGCAACGCCGCGUGCGGAUGACGGCCUUCGGGUUGUAAACCGCUUUCGCCUGUGACGAAGCGUGAGUGACGGUAAUGGGUAAAGAAGCACCGGCUAACUACGUG